This 203-nucleotide transfer-messenger RNA is filed under the name Deltaproteobacteria bacterium. RNAcentral's name for it is "partial transfer-messenger RNA". It matches the Rfam family "transfer-messenger RNA", at positions 1 to 212 of the family's 374-position model. Rfam says of the family: Bacterial tmRNA, also known as 10Sa RNA or SsrA, is named for its dual tRNA and mRNA-like properties. Its role is to liberate the mRNA from a stalled ribosome. Lineage: Bacteria; Pseudomonadati; Myxococcota; Myxococcia. The record is from RNAcentral.
GGGGGCGAAAUGGCUUCGACGGAGAUUUUGAGGCCCAAGGUAGCAUACCGAGUCUUUUGUCAGCUCGUAAACUUGGCAAUGAAUAAACAUAAUCGCAGAUGAUUAUAAUUACGCUGUAGCUGCGUAGAGCAGCUUCCGUCCUCCUGAUAUCCUUCUUGCAGAUUUCAGAUGAGGGCGUCGACUUUGCAAGACCGCCUUUUAAG